GUUCGGAUNUAGGCUGCAACUCGCCUACAUGAAGUCGGAAUUGCUAGUAAUCGCGGAUCAGCAUGCCGCGGUGAAUACGUUCCCGGGCCUUGUACACACCGCCCGUCACACCAUGGGAGUCGGUAACACCCGAAGCCUGUAGUCUAACCGCAAGGGGGACGCAGUCGAAGGUGGGAUUGAUGACUGGGGUGAAGUCGUAACAAGGUACC
Molecule: ribosomal RNA, 209 nt
Filed under: uncultured bacterium
Lineage: Bacteria
Description: partial 16S ribosomal RNA
Rfam family: Bacterial small subunit ribosomal RNA
Source: RNAcentral